RNAcentral lists this transfer RNA (508 nucleotides) under Phormidium sp. 8B8. RNAcentral's name for it is "16S-23S ribosomal RNA intergenic spacer". The stretch from base 209 to 281 matches the Rfam family "tRNA". The record is from RNAcentral. Lineage: Bacteria; Bacillati; Cyanobacteriota; Cyanophyceae; Oscillatoriales; Oscillatoriaceae.
CAGGGAGACCUAACCCAACAGAAGACCGAAAGAAAAAAAUAAGUCACUGUUGAGGUCAUACCCAGGUCGAACGAGAAUGGUCAGGCUUUCAAACUACUUUCAGGUUGGGUUGAUGGGCUAUUAGCUCAGGUGGUUAGAGCGCACCCCUGAUAAGGGUGAGGUCCCUGGUUCAAGUCCAGGAUGGCCCACCUGAAACACAAAGCAUUGUGGGGGUAUAGCUCAGUUGGUAGAGCGCUGUCCUUGCACGGCAGAUGUCAGCGGUUCGAGUCCGCUUACCUCCACCAAAAAAAACAAUUAACCAAAGAAACUCAGAGUAAAAACUGGUCAACUCAAAUAAGAGAAUGAUAGACUAGUGGAAGUGACAAAUUGAUUCUUCAGCACCUCUAGUGGUUGGAAAACCAGAGAGAAUGCUGGCGAAAUCAGCCAGUGAGAACCUAGAAAACUGCAUAGUAAGAGAGAAAUAGGAAACAAAUAGCAGGUAGAUAAAUACCAAAUGUUUGUGCAAAUU